AGCAAUAAACCAGGAAUGAGGGGAGCCCUGGUGACAAAGAGGACACUGGAUUCUCUCUGUGGUCAAGGAGAGAUGGCAGUGAGAGGGGUAAAUUCACUCAGUUACCCAACUUCCUCUUAGGAGAGUGGCAAGGGUGACAAGCCUCACCUGGCUGAGAGUGAGGUUUGUUUGGGCCCCAUUGUCAUAGCAACAAGGGAAUGUUUGGUAACAGAGCCAGUGACUUCACAGAAGCUGGUCUUAAUUCCACAUUUCUGAAGCUCAGGGAAGAGCAGAGCCAGCCAGGAGAGAAUGUGGAGGCAGAGGAAGACAAUAGUUCCCUUGGAAGAGCUGUGACUACUAGAAAAGUACUGUCCUGGUGUUCAGGAUCACUGUAUUGCCACUAAUGGAGAAGUCCAUUACCUUCGAUUGUACCACAGUGUAUCAGUCUCUGUGUAACUAUGGGAGUGGAAACACCGAGGAAAAGCAACUGCCUAAAUACAGUGGUUGAGAGGACAUGACAGAGGAGAGACUCUAAAUGAACACUCUAAUGCAAAUAUUAUCAACAAUGCAAUGCGUUUAAAUCAAGAAAACAUCUAAUGCCCAGUGGAUUUACGCAUCGGCUAUGGGGGUUGGGGGAGGAAAAGAAAAUGAUCUAUGUCUUUAACGAAUAAUGCUUGGAAAUGAUCAAAUAAAAUAUAUUUUAAAAAAAAGAAAAUGAUUUUU
Molecule: long non-coding RNA, 702 nt
Filed under: Monodelphis domestica (gray short-tailed opossum)
Lineage: Eukaryota; Metazoa; Chordata; Mammalia; Didelphimorphia; Didelphidae
Description: lncRNA (ENSMODG00000030447.2)
Source: RNAcentral